This 231-nucleotide unclassified non-coding RNA is filed under the name plant metagenome. Its description in RNAcentral is "partial contains small subunit ribosomal RNA, internal transcribed spacer 1, and 5.8S ribosomal RNA". The record is from RNAcentral.
UCUCCGUUGGUGAACCAGCGGAGGGAUCAUUACAGAGUUGCAAAACUCCCAAACCAUUGUGAACGUUACCUAUCCCGUUGCUUCGGCGGGCGGCCCGAGCACCGCGCCCGGCGCCCCCCGGCCCCCCGUGGGCGCCCGCCGGAGGUAAACCAAACCCUUGAAUUUCAUGGCCUCUCUGAGUCUUCUGUACUGAAUAAGUCAAAACUUUCAACAACGGAUCUCUUGGUUCUG